AAUGAACGCUGGCGGCAGGCCUAACACAUGCAAGUCGAACGGAUCCUUCGGGAUUAGUGGCGGACGGGUGAGUAACGCGUGGGAACAUACCCAAAGGUACGGAAUAGCCUCGGGAAACUGGGAGUAAUACCGUAUGUGCUCGAAAGAGGAAAGAUUUAUCGCCUUUGGAUUGGCCCGCGUUGGAUUAGGUAGUUGGGGGGGUAAUGGCCUACCAAGCCGACGAUCCAUAGCUGGUUUGAGAGGAUGAUCAGCCACACUGGGACUGAGACACGGCCCAGACUCCUACGGGAGGCAGCAGUGGGGAAUCUUAGACAAUGGGGGAAACCCUGAUCUAGCCAUGCCGCGUGAUCGAUGAAGGCCUUAGGGUUGUAAAGAUCUUUCAGGUGGGAAGAUAAUGACUGUACCGCCAGAAGAAGCCCCGGCUAACUCCGUGCCAGCCGCCGCAGUAA
Molecule: ribosomal RNA, 449 nt
Filed under: uncultured bacterium
Lineage: Bacteria
Description: partial 16S ribosomal RNA
Rfam family: Bacterial small subunit ribosomal RNA
Source: RNAcentral